This is a long non-coding RNA of Sorex araneus (European shrew), 3111 nucleotides long. RefSeq lists it as uncharacterized. The record is from RefSeq and is a predicted model, not a curated record. Lineage: Eukaryota; Metazoa; Chordata; Mammalia; Eulipotyphla; Soricidae. The transcript is spliced from 3 exons.
UCACUUUACUUUCUCUUUCCUUUGAUUACAUUCAAUAUUUCAACAGAAAACUCACUAUUAUUAUUUGGAAUUUUCCCCCAACAAUCAGGCCUGCUGAAAAGGCAUCAUUUGAUAUUUUGUUUUUCAUUGCUGAGAAUGAAGAGUACAUGGAGUCGUGUGGCCGCAAUAGCGGCCAUGUGGUUUUGGAUUUCUGGUAUUUUAGUAAUUAACUCCAGAGAAAUUUCUGACAGAAGUCGCAUCACUGCAAGCUCAUACCUCUGUUUAGUGGGCCUUAUAUAAGAUGGUGUCACCAUGCCACCUGUGAAAGGAAAGGCCGAGAGAGAAAAACCUUUCCCCUCCCGGGGCGGCAUGGGGCCGUAGCUGAGUUCAUAGUCUAGAGUCAUUUCUGCAAGAAGCCGCUGGGUGCCGAAAGUGGUUAGUGGGCCUCCAGGAUCAUGGGCAUUCAGGAACCUAAGAUUUAUUUUUUAUUUUUUAUUUCUAAAGCAGGAAUAUUUCUUCAGCAUUUUGCUCCUUUCAAACUAGAAUUCCAAAGAACUUUGCUUAAAUACUUAAUAUUCAGUUUUUUUAAAGUAAACCAAAUAAAAGGACCACACUAUGUCUACAUACAGACUUUUAUCACAACUUAAUUUUACUUGCCUUUAUUCAUUUCUUUGCCAAACCAGCUGACUGUUUAAUGCUCAGACCCAUCCAGUUUUGGGCGCUGGGGACCGAGCACACCCAGAGGUAUGGGGGUCUCUAGGGCUGUGCCCAGCAGUGUCAGGAAAGAUGCCAGGAUGUCUGGGCAGUUGAACUUGGGGUCUCAGACAUGCAAGGCGAGUACCAGCACUUUGAGCUCUCCCCAGCCCUUUGAUAAUAAAGCUUGAUAGGAGAGGUAUUCGAAUAGUUGUUUAGUUAAAUGUGAGGCUUGCUCCUUUAGUCCAAAAUUGAUACUUACCUCAGAACAGACUCCCUUCCUUUAAGCCGUGGGUUUUCUUAGAGUUUGAUCCCUGGAAGACCACUCUCAUCUCCCUUUCCCGACCCUUCACUCUUCACCUUUCUUCUCCUAUUCUGUUUACUUAUUUUUUCUUUUUGCCUGUGCUCAGGGCUGACUCCUGACUAAGCUUGGGAACCGUCACAUGGGGUGCCAGGGGUUGAACCCACAUCAGCUAGAUGCAAGGCACGCUCCCUACUCACUCAGUCUCUCCACCCCCCUCUUUCCUGUUUCGAUGUCAUCCCAGAUCCCUCUGUCUUUUUUUCUCCUCUUCCUCUAGCCUCCUCCAACCUGCUUCUCCCUUUCUUAAUCUAUUAAGCCUUUCAAAAAAUAAUAGAAAAAUUCAUUUAAAGUCUUGAUUAAAAAAAAAGCAGUGUAACCAAGAAGCUAGGAAAGAAGAGUUAAGGAUAACAAACAGAACCAAACUCCAAGAUACAAGAGAGCAGAUUAGGGGUUACCUGAGGGGAGGAUUGGAGAGUGGAUGCCAGGGCUGACGGAAUUGAGAAGUUCUAUUUUCCAGUUAGAAAAUAAUCACAGUGAUGUACCUUACAGUAUGGAGCUCCUAAACAAUAGGGUUACAGAUUUGAAAAAUUGCCAGCAGUAGUUGGGAAAUAGACAUUAUUUUACAUUAAGAAUCAGGCGAUUGGGGCUGGAGCGGGUAGGGCGUUUGCCAUACAUCCGGCUGACCCAGGUUCGAUUCCCAGCAGCAUCCCAUAUGGUCCCCUGCACCGCCAGGAGUAAUUCCUGAGUGCAGAGCCAGGAGUAACCCCUGUGCAUAGCUAGGUGUGACCCAAAAAGAAAAAAAAAAGAGUCAGGUGGUUACCAGAACGUAGCUGGAACUGAUAUAAUACCAGGGGGCUGGAGAGCUCCUUGGGUUAAGGCGCACCAGUCGCGGUUCCAUCACAAUGUUUCUGUUGGGCUCCACCAGGAGUGCUCUCUGGGUACAGAGCUACCCCUGAGUAGCACCACUGGUGGAGUAGCACCGCUGGGUUUGACACCCCCCACGCUAGAGGGAUACAGAAAAGCCUUAAACGGGAAAGAAACAGCCCCUGCGUCUGCCGAGAAUCAGUGUGGACGUGAACGGAAAGGCUGAGCAGUAUCGAGGGCGCGUUGUCCGCAGCAUCCUUCCCCGCUUUGUCUCUGCAGCAGCUGGGGACUGUCCGCGGCUCCCCUGCCCAGAAUCCACCUCGCGCAGCGGCCGUCACCGAGCCGCCCGGGCUGCGGGUGGACCCGGGUCCGGAGGACGUUCCGAGCUCACUGCCGUGUGGACGGGCUCGCGCUGCCAGAACCGCACGGCCUCCUAGCCAAGUGGGCAGCAGGAGCAUCACGCGUCAGCCGCUUCUCAGCAGAGACCUUAGAGCACGGAGGGAGGAGCUGGAGAGGUGACAACAAAAGCCUCAGCCCCAGGACUUCCCAGUCCCCCAGAUGUGCCCUGGGAGGAACUCACAUCUGGUGGGAACUGGCCUGACUGCUCCGACCAGCCCGCUGGCGGCUGCUUCCUGGCUCAGCAUCUCCUAGGAGAGUCGGUUGUAGACAAGAAGUACACACCUGCACCGCUACCUUAGGAGGUAAGAAUAAAAGACAACGGGUGGGGCACCAGGGCAAAAGACAUCGUAGUCGGCAGGAUUCGAACCUGCGCGGGGAGACCCCAAUGGAUUUCUAGUCCAUCGCCUUAACCACUCGGCCACGACUACAGAUAAAGAACUGAUGUUCUCGAUUUAUAAAAUGAAACGUAAUAGACAUAAAGUUAGUACUCAGAAGACAAAAGUGAGUUUAGUAAAUACGACCAUUUCAGGUAAGCAGGACUUGAAGGUCAAACUGUCUCCUGCACCCCCGUCUGAGAACACUCGGGGGCAGGCGCUCACCAUAGUCCUCUCCAGUGAAUAAUCGGGUCAGCUGCUCCCUGGCAUCAAAGGAAAUGCUGGCGGUGGAAGGGAAGAAAAUACUGAAAACUUCCCCAGGAGCCUCGGAUCAGUACUCAGUCUUCAUUCUGCUGGCUGGAGGAAUCUGCAAAUAAAUGCCGUGUGCACUUGGCGUUUCCAAGCAGGUGAAGAAACUUGAAAAGUGUGGCUAUCUAUUGCAAACCACAGCACCCCAAAGGAGAGACAGAACAAAAAGGAAAUACCCUGUCAGAGAGACAG